UACGAAGGGGGCGAGCGUUGUUCGGAUUUACUGGGCGUAAAGGGCGCGCAGGCGGCUCAUUUUGUCAGGCGUGAAAGCCCCGGGCUUAACCUGGGAGGUGCGUUUGAUACGGAUGGGCUAGAGUUCGGGAGAGGAGAGUGGAAUUCCCAGUGUAGAGGUGAAAUUCGUAGAUAUUGGGGAGAACACCGGUGGCGAAGGCGGCUCUCUGGACCGAGACUGACGCUGAGGCGCGAAAGCGUGGGGAGCGAACAGG
RNAcentral lists this ribosomal RNA (253 nucleotides) under uncultured bacterium. Its description in RNAcentral is "partial 16S ribosomal RNA". It matches the Rfam family "Bacterial small subunit ribosomal RNA", at positions 524 to 776 of the family's 1533-position model. The record is from RNAcentral.